UUGAAUAUUGUAUGCACUUGGUAUUGUUCCAUUCAUUCUACAACAUUGUUUUCUACCUAUACGUUACAUGCAUAUUUCAUGUGUUUCCUGUGCACGCUAUAUGCUGCAUGUGGCAUCCAUGCCCAUGCACCACGUUAUGUGUGAACUGUGUGGUGUGUGUGUGUGGCGUGUAUGUUUUGGUGUUCUGCCUUCAGACAGUUCUGCACAGGCCUCGCGUGUGCAAGUGGCCAUCCAGACCCUGGAUGAGAAUGACAAUGCUCCCCAGCUGGCUGAGCCCUACGAUACUUUUGUGUGUGACUCUGCAGCUCCUGGCCAGCUGAUUCAGGUCAUCCGGGCCCUGGACAGAGAUGAAGUUGGCAACAGUAGCCAUGUCUCCUUUCAAGGUCCUCUGGGCCCUGAUGCCAACUUUACUGUCCAGGACAACCGAGAUGGCUCCGCCAGCCUGCUGCUGCCCUCCCGCCCUGCUCCACCCCGCCAUGCCCCCUACUUGGUUCCCAUAGAACUGUGGGACUGGGGGCAGCCAGCGCUGAGCAGCACUGCCACAGUGACUAUUAGUGUGUGCCGCUGCCAGCCUGACGGCUCUGUGGCAUCCUGCUGGCCUGAGGCUCACCUCUCAGCUGCUGGGCUCAGCACCGGCGCCCUGCUUGCCAUCAUCACCUGUGUGGGUGCCCUGCUUGCCCUGGUGGUGCUCUUCGUGGCCCUGCGGCGGCAGAAGCAAGAAGCAUUGAUGGUACUGGAGGAGGAGGACGUCCGAGAGAACAUCAUCACCUACGACGACGAGGGCGGCGGCGAGGAGGACACCGAGGCCUUCGAUAUCACGGCCCUGCAGAACCCGGACGGGGCGGCCCCCCCGGCGCCCGGCCCUCCCGCGCGCCGAGACGUGCUGCCCCGGGCCCGGGUGUCGCGCCAGCCCAGACCCCCCGGCCCCGCCGACGUGGCGCAGCUCCUGGCGCUGCGGCUCCGCGAGGCGGACGAGGACCCCGGCGUACCCCCGUACGACUCGGUGCAGGUGUACGGCUACGAGGGCCGGGGCUCCUCUUGCGGCUCCCUCAGCUCCCUGGGCUCCGGCAGCGAAGCCGGCGGCGCCCCCGGCCCCGCGGAGCCGCUGGACGACUGGGGUCCGCUCUUCCGCACCCUGGCCGAGCUGUAUGGGGCCAAGGAGCCCCCGGCCCCCUGAGCGCCCGAGCUGGCCCGGCCCACCGCGGGGGGGGCAGCCGGCACAGGCCCUCUGAGUGAGCCCCACGGGGUCCAGGCGGGCGGCAGCAGCCCAGGAGCCCCAGGCCUCCUCCCUGUCCCUGUGUCUCUCCUUGCUUCCCCGGGGCACCCUCGCUCUCACCUCCCUCCUCCUGAGUCGGUCUGUGUGUCUCUCUCCAGGAAUCUUUGUCUCUGUCUGUGACACGCUCCUCUGUCCGGGCCUGGGUUUCCUGCCCUGGCCCUGGCCCUGCAUCUCUCACUGUGAUUCCUGUCCUUCCUCCGUGCCGUUUUGUCUGCAGUUCUGAAGCUCACACAUAGUCUCCCUGCGUCUCCCUUGCCCAUGCACAUGCUCUGUGUCUGUCUCCUGCCCACAUCUCCCUUCCUUCUCUCUGGGUCCCUGUGACUGGGUUUUUGUUUUUUUCUGUUGUCCAUCCCAAAAUCAAGAGAAACUUCCAGCCACUGCUGCCCACCCUCCUGCAGGGGAUGUUGUGCCCCAGACCUGCCUGCAUGGUUCCAUCCAUCACUCAUGGCCUCAGCCUCAUCCUGGCUCCACUGGCCUCCAGCUGAGAGAGGGAACCAGCCUGCCUCCCAGGGCAAGAGCUCCAGCCUCCCGUGUGGCCGCCUCCCUGGAGCUCUGCCCAGCUGUCAGCUUCCCCUGGGCAUCCCAGCCCUGGGCAUUGUCUUGUGUGCUUCCUGAGGGAGUAGGGAAAGGAAAGGGGGAGGCGGCUGGGGAAGGGGAAAGAGGGAGGAAGGGGGGAGGGGCCUCCAUCUCUAAUUUCAUAAUAAACAAACACUUUAUUUUGUAAA
This 2001-nucleotide small RNA is filed under the name Pongo abelii (Sumatran orangutan). RNAcentral's name for it is "processed transcript". The record is from RNAcentral. Lineage: Eukaryota; Metazoa; Chordata; Mammalia; Primates; Hominidae.